Molecule: ribosomal RNA, 417 nt
Filed under: uncultured bacterium
Lineage: Bacteria
Description: bacterial SSU rRNA
Rfam family: Bacterial small subunit ribosomal RNA
Source: RNAcentral
GGGGAAUCUUGCGCAAUGGCCGAAAGGCUGACGCAGCGACGCCGCGUGUGGGAGGAAGCUCUUCGGGGUGUAAACCACUGUUGCCCGGGACGAACAGCCUCUUUCGAGGGGCCUGACGGUACCGGGUGAGGAAGCCCCGGCUAACUACGUGCCAGCAGCCGCGGUAAUACGUAGGGGGCAAGCGUUGUCCGGAUUUAUUGGGCGUAAAGAGCGUGUAGGCGGCCAGGUAGGUCCGUUGUGAAAACUGGAGGCUUAACCUCCAGCUGUCGAUGGAAACCAUCUGGCUAGAGUCCGGAAGAGGAGAGUGGAAUUCCUGGUGUAGCGGUGAAAUGCGCAGAUAUCAGGAAGAACACCCGUGGCGAAGGCGGCUCUCUGGGACGGUACUGACGCUGAGACGCGAAAGCGUGGGGAGCGAAC